UGGGGAAUUUUGGACAAUGGGCGAAAGCCUGAUCCAGCAAUGCCGCGUGUGUGAAGAAGGCCUUCGGGUUGUAAAGCACUUUUGUCCGGAAAGAAAUCCUUGGCUCUAAUACAGUCGGGGGAUGACGGUACCGGAAGAAUAAGCACCGGCUAACUACGUGCCAGCAGCCGCGGUAAUACGUAGGGUGCAAGCGUUAAUCGGAAUUACUGGGCGUAAAGCGUGCGCAGGCGGUUUGCUAAGACCGAUGUGAAAUCCCCGGGCUCAACCUGGGAACUGCAUUGGUGACUGGCAGGCUAGAGUAUGGCAGAGGGGGGUAGAAUUCCACGUGUAGCAGUGAAAUGCGUAGAGAUGUGGAGGAAUACCGAUGGCGAAGGCAGCCCCCUGGGCCAAUACUGACGCUCAUGCACGAAAGCGUGGGGGAGCAAACAGGAUUAGAUACCCUGGGUAGUCCACGCCCUAAACGAUGUCAACUAGUUGUUGGGGAUUCAUUUCCUAGUAACGUAGCUAACGCGUGAAGUUGACCGCCU
RNAcentral lists this ribosomal RNA (527 nucleotides) under uncultured bacterium. RNAcentral's name for it is "partial 16S ribosomal RNA". It matches the Rfam family "Bacterial small subunit ribosomal RNA", at positions 355 to 874 of the family's 1533-position model. The record is from RNAcentral.